CCCAGACUCCUACGGGAGGCAGCAGUGGGGGAUAUUGCACAAUGGGGGGAACCCUGAUGCAGCGACGCCGCGUGGGUGAAGAAGCGCCUCGGCGCGUAAAGCCCUGUCAGCAGGGAAGAAAAUGACGGUACCUGAAGAAGAAGCCCCGGCUAACUACGUGCCAGCAGCCGCGGUAAUACGUAGGGAGCGAGCGUUGUCCGGAAUUACUGGGUGUAAAGGGAGCGUAGGCGGGGAUGCAAGUUGGGUGUCAAAACUACCGGCUCAACUGGUAGUCGCACUCAAAACUGCAGCUCUUGAGUGAAGUAGAGGCAGGCGGAAUUCCUAGUGUAGCGGUGAAAUGCGUAGAUAUUAGGAGGAACACCGGUGGCGAAGGCGGCCUGCUGGACUGUAACUGACGUUGAGGCUCGAAAGCGUGGGGAGCAAACAGGAUUAGAUACCCCCGUAA
Molecule: ribosomal RNA, 445 nt
Filed under: uncultured bacterium
Lineage: Bacteria
Description: bacterial SSU rRNA
Rfam family: Bacterial small subunit ribosomal RNA
Source: RNAcentral